Molecule: ribosomal RNA, 497 nt
Filed under: uncultured bacterium
Lineage: Bacteria
Description: partial 16S ribosomal RNA
Rfam family: Bacterial small subunit ribosomal RNA
Source: RNAcentral
GAUGAACGCUGGCGGCGGGCCUAAUACAUGCAAGUCGAGCGAACGGACGAUAAGCGUGCGUCCCUGACGGUAGCGGGGGACGGGCGAGUAAGACGUGGAUAACCUACUUAUAAUACGGGGAGAACAUCGGGAAGACGCAGCCGAUACCAGAGAAUACGAUGAACGGGAGGGAUCAAAAGUGAAAGAGGGUUUGGGCGACACAUAGAGAUGGAGCCGGGCUGGAUUAGCUAGUUGGUAAGGUAACGGCUUACCAAGGCAACGAUGCGUAGCCGACCUGAGAGGGUGAUCGGCCACACUGGAACUGAGACACGGUCCAGACUCCUACGGGAGGCAGCAGUAGGGAAUCUUCCGCAAUGGGCGAAAGCCUGACCGAGCCAUGCCGCGUGAGUGAUGAAGGUCUUCGGAUCGUAAAACCCUGUUGUUGGGGAAGAACAUCAGUAUAUGUAUCUCCCGCCGUCUUGACGGUACCUAAUCAGAAAGCCCCGGCUAACUACGUG